GCUGGGUGUGGUGGUGCACGCCUAUAAUCCCAGCUGCUCAGGAGGCUGAGGCAGGAAGAUUGCAAGUUCAAAGCCAGCUUCAGCAUCUU
RNAcentral lists this small RNA (89 nucleotides) under Marmota monax (woodchuck). Lineage: Eukaryota; Metazoa; Chordata; Mammalia; Rodentia; Sciuridae. The record is from RNAcentral.